AGCCGGAGAGGAGGGCGUGGCUUCCGACAUUCCGCGGGGUCUUUACCUCUUGCUCCCGCCAGAGUUUGGGAUCGGUCUCUUCUGUUCCGCGUCCUCCACCUCGGUAGCCCCUGGUGACUCUGUUACAGCCUCUGUUGACCUAUGAUCUGCAGGGAGACGCACAGCCAGGACAUCCUGGAACCUGGGAAAGGGGACUCUUGACGUUUAGGUAUGUGGCCAUAGAAUUCUCUCUGGAGGAGUAGCAGUGCCUGGACACUGCACAGCAGAAUUUAUAGAGGAAUGUUAUGAAAACCUGGCCUUCCUGGGUAUUACUGUCUCUAAGCCAGACCUGAUCACCUAUCUGGAGCGAGAAAAAGAGCCCUGGAAUAUGAAGUGACAUGAGAUGGUGGAUGAACCCCCAGGUAUAUGCCCUCAUUUUGCUUAAGACCUCUGGCCAGAGCAGGGCAUGGAAGAUUCCUUUUAAAAAGUAAUACUGAGAAGACAUGAAAAAUGUGGACAUGAUAAUUUACUGUUGAGAAAUGGCUGUAAAAGUGUGGAUGAGUGUCAGGUGCACAAAGAAGGUUAUAAUGGACUUAACAAGUGUUUCACAACUACUCAGAGCAAAGUAUUUCAAUGUGGUAAAUGUUUGAAAGUCCUUUAUAAAUUUUUAAAUUCAAACAAAAAAUAAGAUAUACUGGAAGAAAACCUUUCAAAUGUCAAAAAUGUGUCAAAUCAUUUUGCAUGCUUUCACACAAAACCCAACAUAAAAGCAUUUAUACUAGAGAGAAGUCCUACAAAUGUAAAAAAUGUGGAAAAACCUUUAAUUGGUCCUCAAUCCUUACUAAUAAUAAGAAAAUUCAUACUGAACAGAAACCUUACAAAUGUGAAGAAUGUGGCAAAGCUUUUAAGCAACACUCAACCCUUACUACACAUAAAAUAAUUUGUGCUGAAGAAAAACUUUACAGAUGUGAAGAAUGUGGCAAAGCAUUUUGCCAGCCCUCAACCCUAACUAGAUAUAAGAG
RNAcentral lists this long non-coding RNA (1001 nucleotides) under Homo sapiens (human). Its description in RNAcentral is "non-protein coding lnc-ZNF726-5:1". Lineage: Eukaryota; Metazoa; Chordata; Mammalia; Primates; Hominidae. The record is from RNAcentral.